Molecule: ribosomal RNA, 500 nt
Filed under: uncultured bacterium
Lineage: Bacteria
Description: partial 16S ribosomal RNA
Rfam family: Bacterial small subunit ribosomal RNA
Source: RNAcentral
AUUGAACGCUGGCGGCAUGCCUUACACAUGCAAGUCGAACGGCAGCACGGAGCUUGCUCUGGUGGCGAGUGGCGAACGGGUGAGUAAUAUAUCGGAACGUACCCAAGAGUGGGGGAUAACGUAGCGAAAGUUACGCUAAUACCGCAUACGCCCUACGGGGGAAAGCAGGGGAUCUUCGGACCUUGCGUUAAUGGAGCGGCCGAUAUCUGAUUAGCUAGUUGGUGAGGGAAAGGCUCACCAAGGCGACGAUCAGUAGCUGGUCUGAGAGGACGACCAGCCACACUGGAACUGAGACACGGUCCAGACUCCUACGGGAGGCAGCAGUGGGGAAUAUUGGACAAUGGGCGCAAGCCUGAUCCAGCCAUACCGCGUGGGUGAAGAAGGCCUUCGGGUUGUAAAGCCCUUUUGUUGGGAAAGAAAUCCAGCUGGCUAAUACCCGGUUGGGAUGACGGUACCCAAAGAAUAAGCACCGGCUAACUUCGUGCCAGCCGCCGCCGUAA